CAUCGUUCACAAUCCCUCCAAAGCUACCAAUCCUCCAAGAAUAUAUUCCCAGUAUUUAGUUUGGGCCUUUAUCACGAGUGGAGGACGAUUAUAGAAGCAAACAUACGGAGAAAUACAUGGCAACACAACAACUGCUAGAACAGUGGGAGGAGAACAUUAGAGCUAGAGUACAUAAGCCGAAAUGUGACCUUGAACUUUUAAAAAGGAGGGGUGGUACGAGAAGUCGGGACACCAACCCAACGAAGAGAUGAGAAAAUUACCCUCGGAGGGUUUUCGUGCUAUUGUAACUUGGCAAUCAAAUGAGGUUCCAAUCGGAAAGUGGGCCAAUAGGUUCAACUCAUAUAUCGGGAUUCUAGUACAGAGAAGUGAUUUUGCGAACCCUUGUUUUUUAAGCCAGAGCAGUAGCCCUUCAAUUUACUAGAGCAUGUAUGGCGACAUCUUUUGAGAUUCUUCAACCUCAAGGAGAACAAUAAAGGUUAGGAGUAUUUAUUUGGAAAAGCUAGAAAAUAUAAUCAUGCUAUAGGAUACGGAGGUAUGAGUUCAAGUUGAAUUACCAUAUGAAGAUCGAACACGACUAGGAGAGGUUUUGGAAGCAAGAUAAGAGAGUUGAUGAAGAUCAAUUCGGUGUUCUUUUGAUAUUAUGGGGACAAUCAAGACUUCAAAGUAAGUUAGACCAUAGAGUAAUCAACAUUCUGAAUAAAGAGAUUUAAUAUAUAUUUAAUUGUAAAUAUUGUACAUUAUUUUUUUCUUUGUGCCAAAAUUCAUGUUUUUUAGAGGAUAAAUGUAAAAGGAAUUCAGAAUA
Molecule: long non-coding RNA, 802 nt
Organism: Asparagus officinalis (garden asparagus)
Lineage: Eukaryota; Viridiplantae; Streptophyta; Magnoliopsida; Asparagales; Asparagaceae
Exons: 3
Source: RefSeq, a predicted model, not a curated record